RNAcentral lists this ribosomal RNA (253 nucleotides) under uncultured bacterium. Its description in RNAcentral is "partial 16S ribosomal RNA". It matches the Rfam family "Bacterial small subunit ribosomal RNA", at positions 524 to 776 of the family's 1533-position model. The record is from RNAcentral.
UACGUAGGGGGCAAGCGUUGUCCGGAUUUAUUGGGCGUAAAGAGCGUGUAGGCGGCUAGGUAGGUCCGCUGUGAAAACUCGAGGCUCAACCUCGAGACGUCGGUGGAAACCAUCUAGCUAGAGUCCGGAAGAGGAGAGUGGAAUUCCCGGUGUAGCGGUGAAAUGCGCAGAUAUCAGGAGGAACACCAGUGGCGAAAGCGACUUCCUGGACCAAUACUGACGCUCAUGUGCGAAAGCGUGGGGAGCAAACAGG